This 477-nucleotide ribosomal RNA is filed under the name Vibrio lentus. Its description in RNAcentral is "bacterial SSU rRNA". It matches the Rfam family "Bacterial small subunit ribosomal RNA", at positions 62 to 541 of the family's 1533-position model. The record is from RNAcentral. Lineage: Bacteria; Pseudomonadati; Pseudomonadota; Gammaproteobacteria; Vibrionales; Vibrionaceae.
UCCUUCGGGUGCGUUAAUGGGCGUCGAGCGGCGGACGGGUGAGUAAUGCCUAGGAAAUUGCCUUGAUGUGGGGGAUAACCAUUGGAAACGAUGGCUAAUACCGCAUGAUGCCUACGGGCCAAAGAGGGGGACCUUCGGGCCUCUCGCGUCAAGAUAUGCCUAGGUGGGAUUAGCUAGUUGGUGAGGUAAUGGCUCACCAAGGCGACGAUCCCUAGCUGGUCUGAGAGGAUGAUCAGCCACACUGGAACUGAGACACGGUCCAGACUCCUACGGGAGGCAGCAGUGGGGAAUAUUGCACAAUGGGCGCAAGCCUGAUGCAGCCAUGCCGCGUGUAUGAAGAAGGCCUUCGGGUUGUAAAGUACUUUCAGUUGUGAGGAAGGGGGUGUUGUUAAUAGCACCAUCUCUUGACGUUAGCAACAGAAGAAGCACCGGCUAACUCCGUGCCAGCAGCCGCGGUAAUACGGAGGGUGCGAGCGU